CAUGCCUAAUACAUGCAAGUCGAGCGAAUGAUGAAGAAGCUUGCUCUUCUGAUUUAGCGGCGGACGGGUGAGUAACACGUGGGCAACUACCCUAUAGAUUGGGAUAACACAGGGAAACCUGUGCUAAUACCGAAUAAUACAUUUUCUUUCAUGGGAAGAUGUUGAAAGAUGGUUUCGGCUAUCACUAUAGGAUGGGCCCGCGGCGCAUUAGCUAGUUGGUGAGGUAAUGGCUCACCAAGGCAACGAUGCGUAGCCGACCUGAGAGGGUGAUCGGCCACACUGGGACUGAGACACGGCCCAGACUCCUACGGGAGGCAGCAGUAGGGAAUCUUCCACAAUGGGCGAAAGCCUGAUGGAGCAAUGCCGCGUGAGUGAUGAAGGAUUUCGGUUCGUAAAACUCUGUUGUAAGGGAAGAACAAGUAGCGUAGCAACUGGCGUUACCUUGACGGUACCUUAUUAGAAAGCCACGGCUAACUACGUGCCAGCAGCCGC
This 492-nucleotide ribosomal RNA is filed under the name uncultured bacterium. Its description in RNAcentral is "bacterial SSU rRNA". It matches the Rfam family "Bacterial small subunit ribosomal RNA", at positions 43 to 518 of the family's 1533-position model. The record is from RNAcentral.